This 315-nucleotide long non-coding RNA is filed under the name Helianthus annuus (common sunflower). RNAcentral's name for it is "sRNA HanXRQr2_Chr05g0215951". The record is from RNAcentral. Lineage: Eukaryota; Viridiplantae; Streptophyta; Magnoliopsida; Asterales; Asteraceae.
UUUUUUUCUCAUUCUUCUUGCACACACUUUACAAACCCUAAAAAACUAAGUUGCAUCCUCUCUCCUAUCACCACCACCAAGAUCCUCAAUUCUAAACCAUAGCCAAAUCUCUGCAACAUCAUCUUCUUCACACAAAUCAAUCCUAUUAACCAAUCAAAGAUCUGAUCAUAAAAAUUGAAGUCUUUUAGUUUGUUGUUGAUGAUGAUAUAUAUGCAUCCCUUGCACAACAGUCCUUCAUUUUUAAAGCUUAUUGAUGAAGAUGACCCGAUAUUUUUGGUACGUUUAUGUGUAUUCUAUUUACUAAUCAUAUUUUAA